GUGGGGAAUAUUGGACAAUGGGCGCAAGCCUGAUCCAGCCAUGCCGCGUGAGUGAUGAAGGCCCUAGGGUUGUAAAGCUCUUUCACCGGUGAAGAUAAUGACGGUAACCGGAGAAGAAGCCCCGGCUAACUUCGUGCCAGCAGCCGCGGUAAUACGAAGGGGGCUAGCGUUGUUCGGAAUUACUGGGCGUAAAGCGCACGUAGGCGGGUAUUUAAGUCAGGGGUGAAAUCCCAGAGCUCAACUCUGGAACUGCCUUUGAUACUGGGUACCUAGAGUAUGGAAGAGGUAAGUGGAAUUCUGAGUGUAGAGGUGAAAUUCGUAGAUAGUCGGAGGAACACCAGUGGCGAAGGCGGCUUACUGGUCCAUUACUGACGCUGAGGUGCGAAAGCGUGGGGAGCAAACAGGAUUAGAAACCCUGGUAGUCC
Molecule: ribosomal RNA, 425 nt
Filed under: uncultured bacterium
Lineage: Bacteria
Description: partial 16S ribosomal RNA
Rfam family: Bacterial small subunit ribosomal RNA
Source: RNAcentral